AUAAUGCAAGCCCUGCAACCGAGAAUAUGCAUGUGUACGUUUUUAAAAUGACAUUUUCUCUAAAUCUAUACAGUAAAAUCACAUGGUUCCUUGUGUACAAGUAGUUAGUACAACAGUUAGUAUGGUCAUAUCAGUCGGUGCCUGGCACACAGCACUAAGGCCAACUCAUUUCAGCUGCGUCUCCCCCGCCUCUCCUCAUAAAGCGCCCCCACCGUGACGGAUGUUAAUCGUUUAUUUUGCGUUGGAUUGCGUGGGCUGAACAAUCCGGACAUCGUGGCCACCGACGGGGACCCCGCCACCGGGACCCACGCACACCGACCACCACACUGGGAAGUGUCCUCUGCUCACUGUGGAAGCAGCAUGGAAGAACUGCAGAAACUCUGAUGGAAACUACAGGACCUCCACGCUGUUGAACACAAACUGUUGUAGGCCUACUACAAACAGAGGCGGUCCCACUCGGUUAAAGAUCUCGUGGUCAAUGCGGCAGACCGCUGGACCUGGACGUCACCUUCUGCAGAUACUUCACUGCCCUCAGGAAUCCACGGAUAAC
Gadus chalcogrammus (walleye pollock) is the source of this 550-nucleotide long non-coding RNA. RefSeq lists it as uncharacterized. NCBI's taxonomy places the organism in Eukaryota, Metazoa, Chordata, Actinopteri, Gadiformes, Gadidae. The record is from RefSeq and is a predicted model, not a curated record. The transcript is spliced from 2 exons.